AGUAGUACCUGCCCCCUGAAAUUUUGAAGGGCUGCAGUAUUUUAACUGUACAAAGGUAGCAUAAUCAAUAGUUUUUUAAUUGAAAGCUAGAAUGAAUGGUUUGAUGAGAAAAUUACUGUUUCAGUAUUAAUUUUUAAAAUUUUAUUUUUAAGUAAAAAAGCUUAAAUAAGUUUAAAAGACGAGAAGACCCUAUAGAAUUUAAUUAUUUUUUUUUUUAAAAUUAAAGAAUUUAUAUUUUUAGAUUCUAUAAAUAAUUUAAUUGGGGUGAUUAAAAAAUUUAAUUAACUUUUUUUAUUUAAAUCAUUUAUUUAUGAGUAUUUGAUCCAUUUAUAUGAUUAUAAGAUU
Molecule: ribosomal RNA, 345 nt
Filed under: Scymnus takasago
Lineage: Eukaryota; Metazoa; Arthropoda; Insecta; Coleoptera; Coccinellidae
Description: partial 16S ribosomal RNA
Source: RNAcentral